Nicotiana tabacum (common tobacco) is the source of this 1178-nucleotide long non-coding RNA. RefSeq lists it as uncharacterized. NCBI's taxonomy places the organism in Eukaryota, Viridiplantae, Streptophyta, Magnoliopsida, Solanales, Solanaceae. The record is from RefSeq and is a predicted model, not a curated record.
CUUCCUAAUUAAAGGACACAAAACAGAGACGCCCAAACACUUCUCUCUCUCUCUCUAAAAUCUCUCCUCCCACUCUCUAAAAUCCCUUUUCUGCUAAAAUUUUACCCAACUCUAAAUCUCUCAAAUCAAGAUGUGAAUCUCAUCUAUCAGUUGAAGGUUUUUCAGAAGAUGAUGCAGCUGAAAUUAUGCCAAACAUGAGAAUGAAACCUCUCAAUCUUGUAUAUCAACACAGGUGCCUUUUUGGUUAGCAAUUGGUUUUAAAAAACAAAGGGAAAUGUACUAUCAGACCUCCUGAAUCCAUGUUCAUUGUCCUUUCCUUUUUAUGCGAUAUUUCUGGAAAUGAAAGGAACUGGAAAGCUCAACUUAGCAUUCACUACUCUAAAUACAGUACUAAUGAAGAAAGAUUGUCUCAUCAUCCUGAAGAUGCUGAACUUGAGGACUGGAAAUACCUAAUACAAUAUUUUGGAAGUCCGAAUUUUAAGGUUGUAAGUGAGAGGAACAAAAAAAAAUAGGGAAAAGCAAACAACUAAGCAUGCUUGUGGUACAAGGUCUUUUGCAUAAGUAGAGGAAUCUACGAGAAAUCCUAUUUCGUGGACAAGGAUAUGGAAACAAGCCUCCCAAAAAAGAGUCACACAACAUGCAAACAUAGAGUCCAGUAUAUCUUCUGCUAUAGAAAUUAUGCGUCAAGAGAUGCAAGCUGGUAUGGAUCGGAAGUUGCAAGAAAAACGUGAACAAAUGGCUGCUGAGUUGCAAAGAAUUAUGGAACUUGAGUUGUAAAGGAAGUUGGAAUACGAGUUGUCUAGGAAGUUGGCAGAGGACCGUGAACUCGUAAAUGUAGAAGUAGAGAAGAGGAUCUAGCUAGAAGUGAAAAAGAAGAUGCAGGAACAAUUUGCUACUUUCAUGACCAGAAUGCAACAUAUACUUGCUCUGCUCCUUCUCGACAUUACUUCUUCCUUCUCGACAUUUCUUCUUCCUUCCUUCUUGAAAAUUCUUCUGAGACCGGCUUCCUAUCUUCUUUUCAACUUCUUCUCCUUUAACUUUUAUCUUCUUGAUGAGUCUAUAGCUUGAUUUGAUCAAUAUAUGAAUUGUUGGGUUGUUUUGUGUUUAUCUAGUUAAAAAUGCUUUGUAAAAACUAAUGUGCUAUUGUCAACAGCUGAUGAUACAAUUAGUUCCUCGUC